Molecule: transfer RNA, 72 nt
Filed under: Capra hircus (goat)
Lineage: Eukaryota; Metazoa; Chordata; Mammalia; Artiodactyla; Bovidae
Also listed under: 1 other name
Rfam family: tRNA
About the family: Transfer RNA (tRNA) molecules are approximately 80 nucleotides in length. Their secondary structure includes four short double-helical elements and three loops (D, anti-codon, and T loops).
Source: Rfam by way of RNAcentral
UCCCUAGUAGCUCAAUUGGUAAAGAAUCUGCCUGCAAUGCAGGAGACCCAGGUUCAAUCCCUGGGUUGGGAA